UACAGAGGGUGCAAGCGUUAAUCGGAGUUAUUGGGCGUAAAGGGCGCGUAGGCGGAUAUCUUAGUCGGAUGUGAAAUCCCUGGGCUUAACCUAGGAAUUGCAUUCGAUACUGGAUAUCUUGAGUAUGGUAGAGGAAAGCGGAAUUCCCGGUGUAGCAGUGAAAUGCGUAGAUAUCGGGAGGAACACCAGGGCGAAGGCGGCUUUCUGGACCAAUACUAACGCUGAGGCGCGAAAGCGUGGGGAGC
This 245-nucleotide ribosomal RNA is filed under the name uncultured bacterium. Its description in RNAcentral is "partial 16S ribosomal RNA". It matches the Rfam family "Bacterial small subunit ribosomal RNA", at positions 524 to 769 of the family's 1533-position model. The record is from RNAcentral.